RNAcentral lists this non-coding RNA (263 nucleotides) under Lentilactobacillus diolivorans. RNAcentral describes it as "Lactobacillus diolivorans T-box sequence". It matches the Rfam family "T-box leader". From Rfam's summary of the family: Uncharged tRNA acts as the effector for transcription antitermination of genes in the T-box leader family. T-boxes are found upstream of many aminoacyl-tRNA synthetase genes and some amino acid biosynthetic genes usually in Gram-positive bacteria. The record is from RNAcentral. Lineage: Bacteria; Bacillati; Bacillota; Bacilli; Lactobacillales; Lactobacillaceae.
AAUAAAGUUUUGAUUAGAAAAAGUAACUGAAUUUGAAUGAAAAGAGAACUCUGGUGGUGAGAAUGAGUGAUUCGAUUCGGUGAACACACAUCUAUGAACUAAUUGGUUGAACCAAGUAGGCCAAUUCGCAUGUUUAGCGUUAUCAGGGUUGCCCCAAGUCUUACUGAAGUGUUUUCAGAUGAGUACUUGGUGGCAGCGUAAGGCUGUUUAUCGUGAGGUAGCAGCAAAUUGAGGUGGUACCGCGAUCAAAACUCGUCCUCGAA